GGGCCCGCACAAGCGGUGGAGUAUGUGGUUUAAUUCGAUGCAACGCGAAGAACCUUACCAGGGUUUGACAUCCUGCGAAUCUCUUGGAAACGAGAGAGUGCCUUCGGGAGCGCAGUGACAGGUGGUGCAUGGCUGUCGUCAGCUCGUGUCGUGAGAUGUUGGGUUAAGUCCCGCAACGAGCGCAACCCACGUCUUUAGUUGCCAGCAUUUAGUUGGGCACUCUAAGAAGACUGCCGGUGACAAACCGGAGGAAGGUGGGGAUGACGUCAAGUCAUCAUGCCCCUUAUGUCCAGGGCUGCACGCAUGCUACAAUGGCAAGUACAACGAGUCGCAAUACCGCGAGGUGGAGCAAAUCUCUUAAAGCUUGUCUCAGUUCGGAUAGGAGUCUGCAACUCGACUCCUUGAAGUUGGAGUC
Molecule: ribosomal RNA, 415 nt
Filed under: uncultured bacterium
Lineage: Bacteria
Description: bacterial SSU rRNA
Rfam family: Bacterial small subunit ribosomal RNA
Source: RNAcentral